AUGGAUGACCAUGACAAUACUAGCUUCCCACUCUCCGAUUUCGGUCUUGGGGAUAUGGAGUAUAGUCUCUACCCUAGUAGCACCGAUCACAGUACCAUGCCCCCACCCGAGCAACAUGCCUAUACCAUGCCCCCACCCGAGCAACAUGCCUAUACCGAUCAUCACACUCUCGAACCCCAUACCGAUCCUAGUGCCGAAGCCGAUGGUCACACCAAUUCGAGUAGUGGGACGGGUUCCUCCACCACCAUUGGUGUAAAGCAAAGAGGUCGUCGUAGAACCUCCGUGGUGUGGGAAUCAUUCGAUGAAGAAAUCCCCAUGGUGGACGGUGUCCGGAGGGUGGUUGCAAGGUGCAAAAGGUGCAAGAAGGAGUAUACUGGAGAAGCCAAGGGAGGAACCGGCCACCUAAAGAGGCAUGUGGAAAGCCACACCAAGGCGGAUGAAAAGAGCGCGUCGGGCUCGGCAGCUGUGCAAACGCAGCUCUCCUUCAAUCCUGACGCACAUAGUGGUCCAAACAUUGCUGAAGCUGUACUCAAAGUUGUGAAUGAUCUUAAUCUUGCCGACAAGCAAAUUCCACUGUUGUAUGCAUUUGCAUUUAUCUUGGAUCCUAGAGCUAAACUUGAAGGGUAUCGUAGUGCACUCAAUGUACUAUCUGCAUCCCUAAGUUUAGAUUAUACUGACGACUUCAAUAAGGCUCGUGAGAAGAUUUUUGAAGUUUUUGCUAAGUAUGAGGGAAAAUAUGCCGGAGUUCGAAUGCAACGACCUCCACCAGCACCUACUGCAAGUAAAAACAGAGGAGCAUGGAGCAAGAUCUUUGGUUCUUCAUCCUCCUCGACCGCCGGAAGCUCUUCCACGUCAACAUUUGUGCUUCAAGGUGGCGGGGAGUUAGCGAAGUACCUCAACAGUGACAAAGUCAUGUACGAUUUAGAUAGUGAGGAAGACUUCAACUUACUACAGUGGUGGCAAGAACACAAGCUUACAUUUCCGGUGCUCUCCAUAUUAGCACGUGAUGUGUUAUCGGUGCCUGUUUCUAGGGUGUCAUCGGAGUCUGCUUUCAGCCUAGCUGGAAGAAUAAUUGAGGAGAGAAGAACUAGUCUCGCCCCUGAUAUGGUGAGAACACUGAUGUCCGUCAAAGAUGGGGAGUUAUCAAGAAGGAGAGCGCAACACACUGCAGAAAACACAGAACUACUUGCCAUGUUUGAAGAAAUGAACUUUGAAGAAGACCCGGAAGAUUAG
RNAcentral lists this ribosomal RNA (1233 nucleotides) under Triticum aestivum (bread wheat). RNAcentral's name for it is "partial small subunit ribosomal RNA". The record is from RNAcentral. Lineage: Eukaryota; Viridiplantae; Streptophyta; Magnoliopsida; Poales; Poaceae.